AUAUUGGACAAUGGGCGAAAGCCUGAUCCAGCCAUGCCGCGUGUGUGAAAAAGUUCUUCGGAUCGUAAAGCACUUUAAGUUGGGAGGAAGGGCAGUAAGAUAAUACCUUGCUGUUUUUACGUUACCGACAGAAUAAUAACCGGCUAACUUCGUGCCAUCAGCCGCGGUAAUCAGACGGGUGCAAGCGUUAAUCGGAAUUACUGGGCGUAAAGCGCGCGGAGGUGGUUCGUUAAGUUGGAUGUGAAAGCCCCGGGCUCAACCUGGGAACUGCAUCCAAAACUGGCGAGCUAGAGUACGGUAGAGGGUGGUGGAAUUUCCUGUGUAGCGGUGAAAUGCGUAGAUAUAGGAAGGAACACCAGUGGCGAAGGCGACCACCUGGACUGAUAAUGACACUGAGGUGCGAAAGCGUGGGGAGCAAACAGG
This 423-nucleotide ribosomal RNA is filed under the name uncultured bacterium. RNAcentral's name for it is "partial 16S ribosomal RNA". It matches the Rfam family "Bacterial small subunit ribosomal RNA", at positions 361 to 776 of the family's 1533-position model. The record is from RNAcentral.